Long non-coding RNA from Symphalangus syndactylus (siamang), 5613 nucleotides. RefSeq lists it as uncharacterized. Lineage: Eukaryota; Metazoa; Chordata; Mammalia; Primates; Hylobatidae. The record is from RefSeq and is a predicted model, not a curated record.
AAAGUGAUGGCGCUGUCCCUUUAACCACGUUUUACUGGAAGGAGAGUGCGCUGGGAGGAGGGAAGAGGGGGAGGGAGUUUCUGGUUUUGCAUGAAGAAGCAGAACAUGAUGAAGCAUUUUUCCCCCAUCUAAAGAUCCAGUCGUGCUCCAGUUUGCAGAGGGCAAGGGGCUGGUUGCAGGUGGUGCUGGGAGGAUGGAGAGACACCCCAUCUCACCAUGUUGCCUGGCUGGUCUCGAACUCCUGGGCUCAAACAGUUCUCCCACCUUGGCCUCUCAAAGUGCUGAGAUUACAGGGUCUCGCUCUAUAAGCUCAGGCUGGCAUGCAGUGGCGUGAUCUCGGCUCAUGGCAACCUCUGCCUCCCGGGUUCAAGUAAUUCUCCUGCCUUAGCCUCCCAAGUAGCUGGGAUCACAGGAAAGUCCAACGUGUAAACUGAUGACAGACUAUCCUGGAGGAAGAGGUGGGGCAGCCUGGAGUUUUCCUCUGGACAUCCUGAGAGGGAUACCGAAACACUCAGAAGGGGUCUUAGACCUGCCCAAGCUCACACAUGCAGUUUGAGAAGAGCUGCGCUUAGACCACAGGCCUCUUUGCUCCUGGGAAGCUGAGAGCGUCGGCGCUGGAGUUCGUCAGACAGGGGCAAGUCCCAACCGCAGCUCAGUGACCUCAGACAAGCCCCCUCACCUUGCAGAACUGGGUUCUUCUUCAGAGUUGUAGGAAGGAGUGGAGGAGGGUCUCCGCAUGUCAGAUGUCCACACAGUGCCUGGGAGCUGAGGUUGUCAUGGUUACCAAGAGGCCAGUCUCAGGGCUGCUGUGAUGACCUGGGCUGCACUCCCAUUCCCAAGAAGGGGAGAACUCCUCAGAUUCCCUACUCUGCUCUUGCUCCUUCCCAAGCAAUACAUGAGCAGGAAUUUGUCCUCUGCAGGAAUGUGCAGCGAGAAAGUCUCCUUUUUUGAUGAGACAGCGAUGAGGUGAUGUCUGGUUUUUUAUAUCCUCAUUUGCUGAACUGGUGCCAGAUGUAAGAGUCCAGCCUGGAUUCCAUUAGCCAUAUUUGUCCUCUGGGCUCCCAGCCCUGCAAGGACCUUCUGGGGGCCCACCUUGAGACCCUCCAUUUGGUAAGAAGUUGGCUGAGGCAAAUGAUGCAGCCCUAAGACGAACCAUUUCCACUGGGGACUCAGGCAGGGUCCUUGAGAGCCUGACUCACUCGAGUAUUUUCUUUAAAAAUUAAAAAAAACAAGGCCGGGCACGGUGGCUCACGCCUGUAAUCCCAGCACUUUGGGAGGCCGAGGCGAGUGGAUCACAAGGUCAGGAGAUUGAGACCAUCCUGGCUAACAUGGUGAAACCCCAUCUCUACUAAAAAUACAAUGAAUUAGCCAGGCGUGGUGGCAGGUGCCUGUAGUCCCAGCUACUCAGGAGGCUGAGGCAGGAGAAUGGCAUGAACCUGGGAGGCAGAGGUUGCAGUGAGCCGAGACUGCGCCACUGCACUCCAGCCUGGGCGACACAGCGAGACGCCAUCUCAAAAAAAAAAAAAAAAUUAACAAAACACACUGAUCUUUUUUUUUUUUCUUUUUACCUAAGUAAAAAACCCUUUGAAGUUUAGGAACUGCAACUAAUCCACGUUGAAGGCUAAUCGGAGGUCUAGAUAGGUUAAUACCUUUCCCAGAAGAACCCAGUGGUAAAUGUAAAUGUCAGAUUGAUCAAUUGUAGAUUGAACUUCAGAAGCUGGAGUCCUCAUUACUAUUCUGGGAUGAUGGUCGACUCCGUUUGCUCAACAGAAGGAUCAGUGGCCUGGAGAAUUUGAGACGGCAUAUACCCGUCUGCUGUGUGGCUGGACCAUGUGGGUAAACUCCCCAGAGGCCUGCAUGAGCUAAAGGGGAUGCUCCAUCCCAUGCGCAGUGGAGCCUGCCUCCAUGGGCCCUGCUGGCCUUCAUGGCACCACCUCUCCCAUAGACAUCAGAGCUCCGGUGCCGGCGCUCCCCCCUGCAGACCCACUCGGUCGUGCCCAGCCAGGCUACCCUGCACAGCGUCUCACUCAUCUGUGCCAGAGUGAUGGCUGCUCAGCUAGCCACGAGGGGGUAGCACACCCUCUGCCCAUCCUGCAACAUGUCUGAAGCCCACCUAGACCCCUUCAUCCCAUGGACAGUGCAUUAAGCACAUGCACAAGCACCUGGGCUUCAGGUAGGAGCUACCUGGCCGCCUGCCCACCUAUCCCCUGGAGCCAGCCUGUGCUGCCUUCCUGCCUGAGGCUAACCUCUUCAUGCCCUGCAUGUGGGGAGACCCAGAGAUCCUGGUACUAAUUUUUUUUUUUUUUGAGACGGAGUCUUGCUCUGUUGCCCAGGCGGGAGUGCAGUGGCGUGAUCUCGGCUCACUGCAAGCUCUGUCUCCCAGGUUCACGCCAUUCUCCUGCCUCAGCCUCCCGAGUAGCUGGGACUACAGGCACCCACCACCACACCUGCCUAAUUUUUGUAUUUUUAAUAGAGACGGAGUUUCACCGUGUUGGCCAGGUUGGUCUCGAACUCCUGACUUCAGGUGAUCCACCUGCCUUGGCCUCCCAAAGUGCUGGGAUUACAGGCGCGAGUCACUGCGCCUAGCCCCUGGUAGUAAUUCUUAUUGUUCUCCCUCAAAACCUUGAGAAGUAGGCACCAGCCCGGUGAUGACAGAAUUACUAAUAACAGCAGCUCAGGCGUACCAAGAGCUCACACCCUAUUGGGCAUUGGCCCAGGAAGCCUUCCCUGCAAGUUUGCCAGGUAGGUUCUGUUAUUACCUCCAAUUUACAGAUGGGGAAACUGAAGCACAGAGAAGUAAGUAUUAUGGGCCUAUAUCACAGGACUCUAGAGUGGCAGGGCCUGCCUCUACUUGGUGAUGUGUGUAGGGACACUGCAAGCAGUUCAGUGUGGUGGGGCCAACUGUCUUCAUCAUGGUAGGACUGGCUCCAGGAGGGAUGGUGUAGAUAUGAAGCCAGAUGGGGCACAGGGCUGUGUUCUGAGGCGCCUUGAGGCCUCAGAGAGGGCUUUGCACUUUAUCCAGGGAUUUCAGCAGCCAUGAGAGGGGUAUAAGCAGGAGGGGCAUCUGGUUGGGGCUUUGCUGAAAGGCUCACUCCUUUGGCCAGGAAGAUGGGGAGGCUGGUGGCAGAGAAGCCCAUUGGAGGCUGUUAAUGCCACCCAGGCCAGGGAGGCAGGGCCCAGGUGAGCCAGUGACAGGAGUGAAGGAGAGAGGGCGCCAGGGUAGAGAGAGCUGAAGGGGCAGUGGCAGUGCUGGGUAGCCCUGGGUAGCUCAGCACAUUUUUGGGGGUUGAAAUGCAUUAGAUAUUUUCAAAAGGUGGUUUAUAAUCAAAUAAAAUGAAAAAAAAAAAAAAAGAAAUGCAUCCGAUGGAGCCUGGCAUGGGACUGGUGAGCAGUCAGGAAGUCCAGUUCAACCCUCUAGCAGGAGCCAAGCGUAUACUCAGAAUUCAUCUCAGCAGACAUUCCAGGGGGUAUCUUAGCGCAUCCCAAAGUGUGUACAUUUGUCCACCUGUAGCUCCCAUAGUGGGUCCACCACAGGCAUUUCUGAGUCCUGACCACCCUGAGCUGUUGUUUUUUCACCAGUUCUUUCUUCAGCUCACCCGUCAUCAUUUAUCCCUUCUCAAAACCAGAUCCUGAGUUUCCAACCACUAAGACAAGAGCAUAGCUCACGCCUGUGAUCCCAGUACUUUGGGAGGCUGAGGCAGGCAGAUCACGAGAUGAGGAACCAGCCUGGGCAACAUAGCAAGAUCCUGUCUUUACAAAAAACAAUAAAAUUAGCAGGAGGAUCAGUCGAGCCCAGGAGUUUCAAGGCUGCAGUGAGCUAUGACCAUGCCACUGUUCUCCAGCCUGGGUGGGUGACAGAGUAAGACCUUGUCUCUAGAAAAAGAGCACACAGUGACAUGGGAGGGCCAGGUACACAUAGCUCAGGGGUGGCUGUUAAAAGCCAGAAAAGAGCCUUACAGAUGCAGGUUCGAGUCCCUGCUCCACCCCUUAUUAACCCCAUCAUUAAAAUGUUUACCGAGCACCUAUUAUUAAAUUGCGCCCCAUUGUGAGCAGUGAUGAAAUCUCCAGCUGACUGGGGUGUGAAUCCUCCCUUUGUCCAAUGUACCCACGCUAGUUUUCACUACCCCGUAAUCACGUAGUAGCCCUGCCAGUUAUCAAAUCAACCAUCACAGUUUUGCAGUGCUUGUGUUCAAGAAAUCCUUAUCUGACUUAACUGUGGCCCCAAAGAACAAGAUUCGUGAUGCUGGCAAUUCAGAUAUGCCAAAGAGAAGUUGUGAAUUGCUUCCUUUAAAUGAAAAGGUAAAAGUUCUCAAUAAGAAAAGAAGAAAAUCGCUGGGUACAGUGGCUCACGCCUAUAAUUCCAGCACUUUGGGAGGCUGAGGUGGGUGGAUCACCUGAGGUCAGGAGUUCAAGACCAGCCUUGCCAACAUGGUGAGACCCCAUCUCUACUGAAAAAUGCAAAAAUUAGGCUGAGCAUGGUGGCUCACUCCUGUAAUCCCAGCACUUUGUGUGGCCAAGGCGGGUGGAUCACGAGGCCAGGAGUUCAAGACCAGCCUGGCCAAGUUGGUGAAACCCCAUCUCUACCAAAAAUACAAAAAAUUAGCCAACCAUGGUGGUGGGUGACUGUAAUCCCAGUUACUCGGGAGGCUGAGGCAGAGAAUUGCUUGAACCCAGUAGGCAGAGGUUGCAGUGAGCCAAAAUUAUACCACUGCACUCCAGCCUGGGCGACAGAGCAAGACUCUGUCUCAAAAAAAAAAAAAAAAAAAAUUAGCCAGGCGUGGUGGUGCGCACCUGUAAUCCCAGCUACUUGGGAGGCUGAGGCAGGAGAAUUGCUUGAACCUAGGAGGCGGAGGUUGUAGUGAGCUGAGAUCAUGCCACUGCACUCCAGCCUGGGCAACAGAGCAAGACUCUGUCUCAAAAAAAAAAAAAAGAAACGAAGAAAAUCUGCUGAGCGCUCUAGGGAUAAAAGUAAAAAAGAAUGAGAUCAUGUCCUUUGCAGCAACAUGAAUGGAGCCGGAAGCCAUCAUCCUAAGCAAACUAACACAGGAACAAAAAACCAAACACCACAUGUUCUCAUUCAGAAGUGGGAGCUAAACAUUGAGUGCACACGGAUGCAAAGAAUAAUAGAAAUGGGCCUACUCGAAGGUGGAGAGUGAGAGCUGUAAAACUACCUACUGGGGCCUGGCUGGGUGGCUCAUGCCUGUAAUCCCAGCACGUUGGGAGGCCAAGGCGGGCGGAUCACCUGAGGUCAGGAGUUCGAGACUAGCCUGGCCAACAUGGUGAAGCCCCAUCUCUACUAAAAAUACAAAAAUUAGCCGGGUGUGGUGGUGGGCGCCUGUAGUUCCAGCUACUCGGGAGGCUGAGGCAGGAGAAUUGCUUCAACCCGGGAGGCAGAGGUUGCAGUGAGCCGAGAUCAUGCCACUGCACUCCAGCCUGGGCGACAGAGCGAGACUGUUCCUCAAAAACCAAAACAAACUACCUGUUGGGUAUGGUACUUAUUACCUGGGUGACAAAACACUCUAUAUACCAAGCAUGCAAUUUAUCUGUAGAACCAACCUGCACAUGUACCCCUGAAACUAAAUAAAAGUUGAAUUUGUAAAAAAAAGAAAAAAA